CCUACGGGAGGCAGCAGUAGGGAAUCUUCCGCAAUGGACGAAAGUCUGACGGAGCAACGCCGCGUGAACGAUGAAGGCCUUCGGGUCGUAAAGUUCUGUUGUUAGGGAAGAACAAGUGCUAGUUAAAUAAGCUGGCACCUUGACGGUACCUAACCAGAAAGCCACGGCUAACUACGUGCCAGCAGCCGCGGUAAUACGUAGGUGGCAAGCGUUGUCCGGAAUUAUUGGGCGUAAAGCGCGCGCAGGCGGUUUCUUAAGUCUGAUGUGAAAGCCCCCGGCUCAACCGGGGAGGGUCAUUGGAAACUGGGAAACUUGAGUGCAGAAGAGGAAAGUGGAAUUCCAAGUGUAAGCGGUGAAAUGCGUAGAGAUUUGGAGGAACACCAGUGGCGAAGGCGACUUUCUGGUCUGUAACUGACGCUGAGGCGCGAAAGCGUGGGGAGCAAACAGGAUUAGAUACCCUGGUAGUCCACGCUGUAAACGAUGAGUGCUAAGUGUUAGAGGGUUUCCGCCCUUUAGUGCUGAGUUAACGCAUUAAGCNCNCGCGUGGNGACGCGCAGANAGANACAAGAAGUAGAGNGNGAGAGNGCGAGAGACAGAGGAGAG
This 603-nucleotide ribosomal RNA is filed under the name uncultured bacterium. RNAcentral describes it as "bacterial SSU rRNA". It matches the Rfam family "Bacterial small subunit ribosomal RNA", at positions 338 to 873 of the family's 1533-position model. The record is from RNAcentral.